RNAcentral lists this ribosomal RNA (248 nucleotides) under uncultured bacterium. Its description in RNAcentral is "partial 16S ribosomal RNA". It matches the Rfam family "Bacterial small subunit ribosomal RNA", at positions 524 to 776 of the family's 1533-position model. The record is from RNAcentral.
UACGGAGGGGGCUAGCGUUGUUCGGAAUUACUGGGCGUAAAGCGCACGUAGGCGGCUUUGUAAGUCAGAGGUGAAAUCCCAGUGCUCAACACUGGAACUGCCUUUGAGACUGCAUCGCUUGAAUCCAGGAGAGGUGAGUGGAAUUCCGAGUGUAGAGGUGAAAUUCGUAGAUAUUCGGAAGAACACCAGUGGCGAAGGCGGCUCACUGGACUGUAUGACGCUGAGGUGCGAAGCGUGGGAGCAACAGG